RNAcentral lists this ribosomal RNA (429 nucleotides) under bacterium. Its description in RNAcentral is "partial 16S ribosomal RNA". It matches the Rfam family "Bacterial small subunit ribosomal RNA", at positions 355 to 776 of the family's 1533-position model. The record is from RNAcentral.
UGGGGAAUCUUGCGCAAUGCGCGAAAGCGUGACGCAGCAACGCCGCGUGGGGGAAGAAGGCCUUCGGGUUGUAAACCCCUUUCAGUUGGGACGAAGCUUCGCCGGUUAAUAGCCGGCUGGAGUGACGGUACCUUCAGAAGAAGCCCCGGCUAACUACGUGCCAGCAGCCGCAGUAAUACGUAGGGGGCUAGCGUUGUCCGGAAUCAUUGGGCGUAAAGCGCGUGUAGGCGGCCCGGUAAGUCCGCUGUGAAAGUCGGGGGCUCAACCCGCGGAUGCCGGUGGAUACUGUCGGGCUCGAGUACGGAAGAGGCGAGUGGAAUUCCUGGUGUAGCGGUGAAAUGCGCAGAUAUCAGGAGGAACACCAAUUGCGAAGGCAGCUCGCUGGGACGUUACUGACGCUGAGACGCGAAAGCGUGGGGAGCAAACAGG